This is a ribosomal RNA of Clostridium grantii DSM 8605, 233 nucleotides long. It matches the Rfam family "Bacterial large subunit ribosomal RNA", at positions 2694 to 2925 of the family's 2925-position model. NCBI's taxonomy places the organism in Bacteria, Bacillati, Bacillota, Clostridia, Eubacteriales, Clostridiaceae. The record is from Rfam.
GGGAUGGACUUACCUCUGGUGCACCAGUUGUCACGCCAGUGGCACAGCUGGGUAGCUAUGUAGGGACGGGAUAAACGCUGAAAGCAUCUAAGCGUGAAGCCCACCUCAAGAUUAGAUUUCCCAUAACGUUAAGUUAGUAAGACCCCUGGAAGACUACCAGGUUGAUAGGUCAGAGGUGUAAGUACAGUAAUGUAUUAAGCUGACUGAUACUAAUAGGUCGAGGGCUUGAUCAA